GACGAACGCUGGCGGCGUGCUUAACACAUGCAAGUCGAACGGAAAGGCCCUGCUUUUGUGGGGUGCUCGAGUGGCGAACGGGUGAGUAACACGUGUGUAACCUGCCCUUGACUUUGGGAUAACUUCAGGAAACUGGGGCUAAUACCGGAUAGGAGCUCCUGCUGCAUGGUGGGGGUUGGAAAGUUUCGGCGGUUGGGGAUGGACUCGCGGCUUAUCAGCUUGUUGGUGGGGUAGUGGCUUACCAAGGCUUUGACGGGUAGCCGGCCUGAGAGGGUGACCGGCCACAUUGGGACUGAGAUACGGCCCAGACUCCUACGGGAGGCAGCAGUGGGGAAUAUUGCACAAUGGGCGGAAGCCUGAUGCAGCAACGCCGCGUGCGGGAUGACGGCCUUCGGGUUGUAAACCGCUUGCGCCUGUGACGAAGCGUGAGUGACGGUAAUGGGUAAAGAAGCACCGGCUAACUACGUG
RNAcentral lists this ribosomal RNA (468 nucleotides) under uncultured bacterium. RNAcentral's name for it is "partial 16S ribosomal RNA". It matches the Rfam family "Bacterial small subunit ribosomal RNA", at positions 28 to 507 of the family's 1533-position model. The record is from RNAcentral.